RNAcentral lists this unclassified non-coding RNA (260 nucleotides) under plant metagenome. RNAcentral's name for it is "partial contains small subunit ribosomal RNA, internal transcribed spacer 1, and 5.8S ribosomal RNA". The stretch from base 213 to 260 matches the Rfam family "5.8S ribosomal RNA", at positions 1 to 49 of the family's 154-position model. The record is from RNAcentral.
UUUCCGUAGGUGAACCUGCGGAAGGAUCAUUAUUGAAUGAAACACUUCUGGCUUUAUGCUGUUGUGCUGGCCCUUUGGGCAAUGUGCACACGGCUCUGGUCACUUGUUUCUUCUGUUCCACCUGUGCACUGCCUGUAGACACGCUGUGUCUAUGAUAUUUGUUAACACACAACAAUGUUAGUUGGCAUGUUAUAUAUAAUAAUAAAAUAUACAACUUUCAACAACGGAUCUCUUGGCUCUCGCAUCGAUGAGAACGCAGC